Leclercia adecarboxylata is the source of this 156-nucleotide non-coding RNA. Lineage: Bacteria; Pseudomonadati; Pseudomonadota; Gammaproteobacteria; Enterobacterales; Enterobacteriaceae. The record is from Rfam.
ACUAAUUAGAACCACUAAGGGGCGGGAUCUCCUGCCCUCUCGAUUGUCGGGAAGCGCGGACAGACUAAACGUUGAGGGGUCGUUCCCCACUCAGCGCGACGAUUAAAGCUUCUCACCAAUCUUCGAGGGUAGCGCUGCUACCCUUUUUUUUCUGGA